UACUCCUACGGGAGGCAGCAGUGAGGAAUAUUGGUCAAUGGGCGGAAGCCUGAACCAGCCAAGUAGCGUGCAGGAUGACGGCCCUAUGGGUUGUAAACUGCUUUUUAAGGGGAAUAAAGAGGGGCACGCGUUGCCCUGUUGCAUGUACCCUUGGAAUAAGGACCGGCUAAUUCCGUGCCAGCAGCCGCGGUAAUACGGAAGGUCCAGGUGUUAUCCGGAUUUAUUGGGUUUAAAGGGAGCGUAGGCCGCAGGUUAAGUGUGUUGUGAAAAGCAGUCGCCCAACGUCUGCCUUGCAGCGCAAACUGUCCUGCUUGAGUGCGCACAACGCAGGCGGAAUUCGUCGUGUAGCGGUGAAAUGCUUAGAUAUGACGAAGAACUCCGAUUGCGAAGGCAGCUUGCGGGAGCGCAACUGACGCUGAAGCUCGAAAGUGCGGGUAUCGAACAGGAUUAGAUACCCUGGUAGUCCGCACGGUAAACGCUGGAUGCCCGUUUUUGGCUUAUUUUAAGUCAGAGACCAAGCGAAAGCAUUAAGCAUCCCACCUGGGGAGUACGCCGGCAACGGUGAAACUCAAAGGAAUUGACGGA
RNAcentral lists this ribosomal RNA (585 nucleotides) under uncultured bacterium. RNAcentral describes it as "bacterial SSU rRNA". It matches the Rfam family "Bacterial small subunit ribosomal RNA", at positions 334 to 917 of the family's 1533-position model. The record is from RNAcentral.